This 253-nucleotide ribosomal RNA is filed under the name uncultured bacterium. RNAcentral's name for it is "partial 16S ribosomal RNA". It matches the Rfam family "Bacterial small subunit ribosomal RNA", at positions 524 to 776 of the family's 1533-position model. The record is from RNAcentral.
GACAGAGGGUGCAAACGUUGUUCGGAUUUACUGGGCGUAAAGCGCGUGUAGGCGGCUUCGCAAGUUGGAUGUGAAAUCCCACGGCUCAACCGUGGACGUGCAUCCAAAACUGCGUCGCUGGAGUCUCGGAGAGGAAGGUGGAAUGCUUGGUGUAGAGGUGAAAUUCGUAGAUAUCAAGCAGAACACCUGCGGCGAAGGCGGCCUUCUGGACGAUGACUGACGCUGAGACGCGAAAGCGUGGGGAGCGAACAGG